This 580-nucleotide ribosomal RNA is filed under the name uncultured bacterium. RNAcentral describes it as "partial 16S ribosomal RNA". It matches the Rfam family "Bacterial small subunit ribosomal RNA", at positions 355 to 926 of the family's 1533-position model. The record is from RNAcentral.
UGGGGAAUUUUGGACAAUGGGCGAAAGCCUGAUCCAGCAAUGCCGCGUGUGUGAAGAAGGCCUUCGGGUUGUAAAGCACUUUUGUCCGGAAAGAAAUCCUUGGCUCUAAUACAGUCGGGGGAUGACGGUACCGGAAGAAUAAGCACCGGCUAACUACGUGCCAGCAGCCGCGGUAAUACGUAGGGUGCAAGCGUUAAUCGGAAUUACUGGGCGUAAAGCGUGCGCAGGCGGUUUGCUAAGACCGAUGUGAAAUCCCCGGGCUCAACCUGGGAACUGCAUUGGUGACUGGCAGGCUAGAGUAUGGCAGAGGGGGGUAGAAUUCCACGUGUAGCAGUGAAAUGCGUAGAGAUGUGGAGGAAUACCGAUGGCGAAGGCAGCCCCCUGGGCCAAAUACUGACGCUCAUGCACGAAAGCGUGGGGAGCAAACAGGAUUAGAUACCCUGGUAGUCCACGCCCUAAAACGAUGUCAACUAGUUGUUGGGGAUUCAUUUCCUUAGUAACGUAGCUAACGCGUGAAGUUGACCGCCUGGGGAGUACGGUCGCAAGAUUAAAACUUAAAUGAAUUGACGGGGUCAUAGCU